GUAAAAUCCACAGAUAAAGACGAGUAGUGUUGAUAACCGCACAUACUACAUACUAUUGGAUAACUGUAAAUCUAUACUAAAGAUUAAACGUAAAUCUGUGAGCGUCUGUAAAAUAUUAUUAAAAAUGAGCACUAAUAUUAAACGGUUCUGUGUGCCUUAGUGCGAUGAUACAUCUUCAAGGCGGUGUCUAUUUCCUCACAAUCUAAACUUGAGAAUGGUUUGGUUGAAGCGAAUUGGGUGUGAACAUUUAUUGGCAAAACCGGCAGUUCGUAGUUCAUAUAUAUUUAUUUGUACUAGCCAUUUUGCCGAUAUAUGUUUCAAGGAAAACUGAAUGCUAUUAAGAAAUUGUCUGCCAACAAUAGGCCUUCCAGGUAUGUUUAAAUAAGACUAUCCUAUGUCUUGUUUUAAAUAUUACUACAUGCAUGUGAAUAAUUUACGUAUUUUAGUCUUUUCGUAAUAUAUUUAUUUGUAGUAGGCAUUUUCACGAUGUGUGUUUCAAUGCAAACGGGAGACUAAUAUUAAAUUGUCUAAAAACAAAAGGCCUUCCAGGUAUGUUUAAAUAAGACUAUCCUAUGUCUUAUUUUAAAUAUUACUACAUACAUGUGAAUAAUUUACGUAUUUUAGUCUUUUUGUAGUAUAUUUAUUUGUAGUAGGCA
Molecule: long non-coding RNA, 656 nt
Organism: Dendroctonus ponderosae (mountain pine beetle)
Lineage: Eukaryota; Metazoa; Arthropoda; Insecta; Coleoptera; Curculionidae
Exons: 2
Source: RefSeq, a predicted model, not a curated record